UACGUAGGGGGCAAGCGUUGUCCGGAUUUAUUGGGCGUAAAGAGCGUGUAGGCGGCCAGACAGGUCCGUUGUGAAAACUCGAGGCUCAACCUCGAGACGUCGAUGGAAACCGUCUGGCUAGAGUCCGGAAGAGGAGAGUGGAAUUCCUGGUGUAGCGGUGAAAUGCGCAGAUAUCAGGAAGAACACCUAUGGCGAAGGCAGCUCUCUGGGACGGUACUGACGCUGAGACGCGAAAGCGUGAGGAGCGAACAGG
Molecule: ribosomal RNA, 253 nt
Filed under: uncultured bacterium
Lineage: Bacteria
Description: partial 16S ribosomal RNA
Rfam family: Bacterial small subunit ribosomal RNA
Source: RNAcentral